RNAcentral lists this small nuclear RNA (107 nucleotides) under Propithecus coquereli (Coquerel's sifaka). The record is from RNAcentral. Lineage: Eukaryota; Metazoa; Chordata; Mammalia; Primates; Indriidae.
GUAUUCCCUUCAGCAGCACAUAUACUAAAAUUGGAAUGACAGCGAGAAGAUUGGCUUGGUUCCUGCACAAGGAUGACACACAAAUUCAAGAAUUUUUUUUGUUUUUA